Molecule: long non-coding RNA, 1453 nt
Organism: Strigops habroptila (Kakapo)
Lineage: Eukaryota; Metazoa; Chordata; Aves; Psittaciformes; Psittacidae
Exons: 2
Source: RefSeq, a predicted model, not a curated record
CCUUCCCUCUGCUGCCUCCUCCACGCCCGCUCGCUCCCUCGCUCGCUCGCUCGCUCGCUCAACCAACGCCGCUUCCGCCGCCGCCGCCACUGCGCUGCUCGGCGUCGCCGCAGCUGGAUCGGCUUCCUCCGCCUCGCGUGGCGGCGGGCGCAACAAGCCUCCGCGGCGGGCCGCCACUGCCCUUCCACACCCCUGCGCCUGCCACACCAGUUUCUCCUUUUUUUUUUUUUUUUUUUUUUACCCUUCUGCUGCGCGGAACGAGACCGGAGCUGGCGCUCGGGCCUGCGCUGAGAGGAAGGCAGCCAGCGAUUUGUGAAGAAAUGGCCGUUGAAAAAAGCCACACGUUUUGGGUUUAAUUUUUGUCUUCCUCAAGGAUGGUGGGGAGGAGGACUGCAAAAUGCCGCCUCGCGUCAAGGCUUAAAAUGAACGCGCAGAGGCGGCAGUGCCCCUCGCCCGGCGGAUGAGGUGUGUCAGACCUGGGACACUUGCUGGAGUUACUGUUACCGCUCAUGUCCGGCGCUGCCGUGCCGCUGGAACUGGAACACCCCACGCUGACAGCCUUGCCGGGGCGAGGGAUUUCCAGCUGGACAUACCGAACUGGGGUGACUUUUAAAAACAACCUUUUUGGAUGAGCACAGGGGAAAAUGCUGAUGUUCUGGUGAAGGGUCCUUCAUUGGAGGCUGAUGAUCCCCACCGCCACCAGAUUUACUGGAAAUAUUUUAAUUGUGGGCUGUGAGUGUUUGGAGAAAGAGAAUGUCCUAGUCUGAAAGAUUUUCUGGUGUUCCUCUGUACAGGACAAAAAUCCCUUCAUUUCUAGAGGAAGCCUUGCUUGUCUGGCCGCUUCAGGAUUCAGCCAUACAGUUGGUCACAGCUGUAAAUACCCUGUGACAUACAAAAACACUCUCUCAGCUGUGGAUGGAUAUCAUUUGCACAAAGGGAUAGCAUCUUACACCAAUGCACCUGAAUCCUUCCAAGGCUUAGGAUUUCCCAAAUAAUGCUUUGUCUUUAAUACAGAUUUAAAAUGCCUCUCCCAAGCUUAAACAACUAGUAAAUUCGUGAUGUUGGAUAAAGCAAAGUCUGUUUUACAAGUGUAUGUAGUUUUGUUUGAAAGCAAAGAAACAAAGAUGGCACUGGAGAAUAUGGUAAUUCACUACUGGAAAUACUCAUAUCUGAUGGGUAGGUGCUCAUGUAAAUUUAAUGGAGACAGAGAAAACCAGGCUCUGAAAGAAAAAUGUAUUGCAUACAUUUGUUCCAAGUUAAUACAAAAGGUCCCAAUCCUAUAAUUGUUUAUGCAUUUACAACUUCAAGUUAUCCAUCUGAAAUAAAAGGAAAUAAUUGGUGUAGCAAAUGAAGUGUAUUCGUAAGUCUUUGUGCUUAAUCUAAUACGGUGUAACUCUGUAAUUCAAGGGGGAAAUAUUUAUCUUCUCUUGCUAAUAAACUAAACUUUAAUGUA